Molecule: ribosomal RNA, 71 nt
Filed under: Geobacillus stearothermophilus
Lineage: Bacteria; Bacillati; Bacillota; Bacilli; Caryophanales; Anoxybacillaceae
Description: partial 23S ribosomal RNA
Source: RNAcentral
AGGUUAAGCUAGAAAGGGCGCACGGUGGAUGCCUUGGCACUAGGAGCCGAUGAAGGACGGGGCAAACGCCG